Non-coding RNA from Oryzias latipes (Japanese medaka), 900 nucleotides. NCBI's taxonomy places the organism in Eukaryota, Metazoa, Chordata, Actinopteri, Beloniformes, Adrianichthyidae. The record is from RefSeq and is a predicted model, not a curated record.
AAAACGGGAAAAGUGGGGUUGUUCAAUUUACAAAUACUAAACAUGUUUGUUUAAUAUGAACAAAUUAUGUUUACCUUCGAAACAUAAUAUAAUCUUGAAAAUCACACAUAAUUUCUUGCUGUGUUACUUUUAUAUAUUUAAAUCAUGUUGACAAAACAUGAAAUAGUUAUGCUUGAUCCUUUGCCCCUUAAUUUUGGAUAAGUAAACCCCAUCGGUGAAGAAGCAUUCCAGGAGGAGAAACAUUGCAGUCAGCCAUUUUAGAGAAGCUGCAAGCACCUGCUGGCCGGAGGAGCUUAAAAAAGAUUCCCCCUAUUUGAUAAAUUAAUAUGGUGUGACGGGGUCCCGCCGAGAAAGGAUGCAGAGGAGCCAAGUGCUCCUCACACAACACUUCCAACUGCUCCUCCCUGAUCAUGCUGGGGUCCAUGCUCCAGUCUUCACUGAGUCAGACUGCUGACCUUCUCGCCAAUAUAAGCAAGUUCAGAGGUUUAUUCAAAGUACAGAAUGAAGACCAUGCAGCACUCCAGGAGGCAAUCGAGGACACCACGGUGGGAAUUUCCCUCCUAAUGGAAAGUGGCGAGGAAGAGGACAUUCUCAUGGUCCACAUCUCCCAGGCUGUGGUGGUCGACCCACCAAGUGUCAAGAGUGGCAGUUGCCAAGGCUUUUUUGACCUUAUUUACAGCACAAAUCUGAUUACCAUCCUCAUCUCAGAAACACCUUUGAGGUAAUUCAAAGAAAAACUGUAAUAGAGUUGUAGGGCAAAGUUGUGUCUAAGGUUUCAGGCUUAAAGAGCCGACUCUUUUAAUAAAAAUGACCUUUAAAAAGUUUUUCCUAAGAAGGGAUUCCAGCUGUCUGCUUUGGCUCUGUUAUCUUCUGUUUAAUAAAAAUAGCAAGCCCAAUUUA